Molecule: small nuclear RNA, 171 nt
Filed under: Naja naja (Indian cobra)
Lineage: Eukaryota; Metazoa; Chordata; Lepidosauria; Squamata; Elapidae
Description: U4 spliceosomal RNA (ENSNNAG00000004846.1)
Rfam family: U4 spliceosomal RNA (bases 1-62)
Source: RNAcentral
AGCUUUGCGCAGUGGCAGUAUUGUAGCCAAUGAGGUUUAUCCGAGGGGCAAUUAUUACUUUUCCCAAUAUGUAAAAGCAAGAAUAGGAGCAGCUAUGUCAGGCACAAAAAAGUAGGUUCACACGUGAAGGUCAGAGCAGGUUCUGGCCAUUUCUGGAGAACCAGUAGCGGA